AAACGUCAUUUCUUCUUCUUUAUUUCUUCCAAAGCCAUUUAUAAAGUUCCAAGAACUUUCUCCAUCACCCACAGCCACCAUUAGCCACCACAAACCAUCGUUGUUCUCCACACCGAGAGGAACCCUUCAACCGAAGCGGAAUCUUCCAACUUGGCUUGCGGUUUCGGUAGAGAACGAAACCCUAAUCUAACCUUUCGUUUUCUUUCGAGGUAACCAUGGUUCUACGCUUGUUUCUUGUUAGUUUCAUCUUGUCUUUUCAUCUUUUCUGACUUUGGAACCGCCAUUGUAUGUCUUAUGCUUCCUUUGAAAAACUUUUGAGAAAGAGACUUUGUAAACGUUAUCCUUUCAUGAAAUGCAUGUUAUUUUCGUAACCUACACUGAACCCCAGUCACAUUGGCGUGGUCGGAAUUUCCAAAUGAUGUUCCUUUGUAAAACCCAAAAUUCUCUCAGCUCUUUCAAGUAGUGAUGUGGGUGUUUUACCCAGAGCACUGUUACUAGCUUUGUUUUCUGAAAUCCAUACUAAGUCUCCUUCGUUUUGGCAUAGUAGAGGCUUACGUGGAAUCGACGAGCAAGGACGAAAAGGAAUCUUCAAGUGACGCGACGAGAAAUCCGUGGGGUAGCUCACGAUAGGUGAGGGGAGUUUAUUAUAAAAUUUACCGUUUUAACACCAUAGUUAGGGUCAGGGAACCUAGCUAUGAGGAUAUUUGCCUGUCCCUGUUGCAUGCUGAUUUUUCUUCAAAGAAAAUUACGUUUUAACUAAUGGGAUGUGAUAUAUAUAUAUAUAUGUAUUGUGAUGAAUGAUAUUGUUUUGGUUGUUUGAAAUGUGUUGUUUGGAGACCGUGCGUGUGGAAAUGAUAUUGUUGUGUUUGUUUGAAUUGUUGUUGAUGUUGCUAUUGAGGAUUUUAAUUUAUAUGUGAUGAUAAUGAUAAUUUUGAUGAUAUUGAUUUGAGAUGACGUUGUUAAUAAAGACCAUGUCAACAUGAAUUGUUAUUAUCGAUGAAUAUGUGAAUAUGAAAUAAGGUUGUUGUUGUUGUUGAUAACGUCAUUGAGAUGAGAUGAUAUUUAUGUUGUGAAUGACAUGGAAAUGGAAUGUUGAUUGAUGUUGGAAAUGCAUUGGCAUGUACAUGUUGUGUAUGUUCAUGGGGGGCACUGUGCACUGACCUUCCAGGGUCUUUGGCACUAGCUUUUGGCCACGAACAUACGUCGUAUGGAGUGUAUGUCAUGGGGGGGUAGAGUGCACUGACCUUGUCGGAUGGCGCAGACGUGGGUAACUAGCGUGGUUAGAGAAUCUAAGCAUUUUUUAGGGGAUGCUUAGGCGCUUUAAUUGGUCCAUGGUCUUUGGCACUUACUUUUGGCCGUGAUCAUAGCUCAUACGACAUAGGAAAUAGAGUAACUGUGGCCAAGUGUACUUUGUACUAGGGGGCUUGUCACCUGGUAGGGAACACCUUUGGGCUCCCAGGCUGAUCACCUAUGGGAGGGGGGUUUUUAGGUGCACAACCGGGUGGUCUCGAUAAACUCAGCACAGUUCCCUAAGUGAGAGUGUCGUGUGGACACGCUUAGGCUAUUUCCUGAGGUUUGGUUGUUGUUGGUACGUACCACAUUGCAUCUGAGUGUUGAGUCAGGUGCAUGCAUCAUUCUGUGCAGUCUUGAUUGGGUCCAUGGAUGGAUGAUGAGUAAUUGUUGGAUGUGAAUGAUGAAUAUUUGUUGGAUAUGAGUGUUGAAUAAUGAUUGUUGUGCAUGCUUAUCAUGUUUGCCUAUGUUCCGUGCUAAUUGUGGUUAUUUGGAAUUGGUAUUGGUUCUUUUAUAAUAAACUCACCCUUGCAAUUUUGUAUCGUGUGGUUGAUACCUAUGAUGAUCACGAACCUUGUUCGUGGGAGCAGAAUGACAGUGGCAGGGUGUAGAGAGUAAGAUUCUGGUGAGGAGCCGCCGAG
RNAcentral lists this long non-coding RNA (1931 nucleotides) under Glycine max (soybean). Its description in RNAcentral is "long non-coding RNA (GMAX_LNC003191)". The record is from RNAcentral. Lineage: Eukaryota; Viridiplantae; Streptophyta; Magnoliopsida; Fabales; Fabaceae.